Molecule: transfer RNA, 69 nt
Filed under: human gut metagenome
Also listed under: 2 other names
Rfam family: tRNA
About the family: Transfer RNA (tRNA) molecules are approximately 80 nucleotides in length. Their secondary structure includes four short double-helical elements and three loops (D, anti-codon, and T loops).
Source: RNAcentral
CAGGUGUAGCACAACGGCUAGGGCACCAGCCUUCCAAGCUGGGGACGUGGGUUCGAUUCCCAUCACCUG